This 193-nucleotide microRNA precursor is filed under the name Oryza sativa Japonica Group (Japanese rice). RNAcentral's name for it is "MIR812 microRNA precursor family". It matches the Rfam family "MIR812 microRNA precursor family". The record is from Rfam by way of RNAcentral. Lineage: Eukaryota; Viridiplantae; Streptophyta; Magnoliopsida; Poales; Poaceae.
AAAAAGGCAAACCCUAAAUUUCCGUGCCAACGUUUGACUCUCCGUCUUAUAUGAAAUUUUUUUAUAAUUAGUAUUUUCAUUGUUGUUAGAUGAUAAAACAUGAUUAAUACUUUAUGUAUGACUUAUCUUUUUAAUUUUUUUAAAUAAGACGGACGGUCAAACGUUGGGCACGAAAAUCAGGGUUUGUCUUUUU